AUGGAUAUCAACCCAUCCAUCACAUGUUGGAACGUGUGAGGCCUUAACAACCCGGCGAAGAGAAAGGCGGUUAGAGAAUUUAUUUCUUCGGUGAAGUGCAACAUGGUGUGUUUGCAGGAGACUAAAUUGGAUGUAAUGGACCAAUAUAUGAUGAUGCAAUGCAUUGGACCAUCUUACAAUGGUUUUGCUUAUCUCCCGGCGAUUAAUACGUGUGGAGGUAUCGUGUUAGCGUGGGACUCCACGGUGCUCGAGGUGGACACCAUCCUCACGGAUGCACACUCACUAACCGGCCUUGUGCACAACAAGGAUGGCUUCAAAUGGUGGAUAACUGUUGUGUAUGGUCCUCAAGGAGAUGAGCAGAAACUGGCUUUUUUGCAUGAAUUACGUGAGCGUAGGGCAGGGUGCAUAGGACCGUGGAUGAUACUUGGAGACUUCAACAUGAUCCUUAGGGCGUCGGAGAAGAACAAUACCAACAUUAACCGGAGGAUGCUCAACAGCUUCAGAUCAUUGUGGAUGACAUGGAAUUGA
This 528-nucleotide ribosomal RNA is filed under the name Triticum aestivum (bread wheat). RNAcentral's name for it is "partial small subunit ribosomal RNA". Lineage: Eukaryota; Viridiplantae; Streptophyta; Magnoliopsida; Poales; Poaceae. The record is from RNAcentral.